CCUACGGGAGGCAGCAGUGGGGAAUAUUGGACAAUGGGCGAAAGCCUGAUCCAGCCAUGCCGCGUGUGUGAAGAAGGCCUUCGGGUUGUAAAGCACUUUCAGUGGGGAAGAAAGCCUUGGGGCUAAUACCCUCUAGGAAGGACAUCACCCACAGAAGAAGCACCGGCUAACUCCGUGCCAGCAGCCGCGGUAAUACGGAGGGUGCGAGCGUUAAUCGGAAUUACUGGGCGUAAAGGGCGCGUAGGCGGUCUGAUAAGCCGGUUGUGAAAGCCCCGGGCUCAACCUGGGAACGGCAUCCGGAACUGUCAGGCUAGAGUGCAGGAGAGGAAGGUAGAAUUCCCGGUGUAGCGGUGAAAUGCGUAGAGAUCUGGAGGAAUACCAGUGGCGAAGGCGGCCUUCUGGACUGACACUGACGCUGAGGUGCGAAAGCGUGGGUAGCAAACAGGAUUAGAUACCCCAGUAGUC
This 465-nucleotide ribosomal RNA is filed under the name Vreelandella stevensii. Its description in RNAcentral is "partial 16S ribosomal RNA". It matches the Rfam family "Bacterial small subunit ribosomal RNA", at positions 338 to 795 of the family's 1533-position model. Lineage: Bacteria; Pseudomonadati; Pseudomonadota; Gammaproteobacteria; Oceanospirillales; Halomonadaceae. The record is from RNAcentral.